CGGUAUGGAUGGAUACAGCAAUAACAGAGUCAUCAUCUUAACAACAACAUCUUAACAGCAACAACAAAUCCAUACGAGUAUGUUACUACCACCUUGAGCAGCAGCUUAGCUUAGCUAGCUAAAACACUACAGGUUCCAGAUAUAAAGGACAGACCCAGUGCAUAGAAGCUCCCACACAAGGUGGGGUCUGGGGAGGGAUUAUAGGAACCUAGUCUUACCCCUGCAAAGUGCAAUGCAGAGAGGCUGGUUCGAACCCAGGACCUCUUGGCACAAGUGGGGAGGACUUCACCACUGCGCCAGGCCUGCCCUCUACAGGUUCCAGAUAUAGAGAACUCAAAAUGGCAACAAACAUAUAACAUCAUCACCGACGCCGACAAACCACCGCCUCGGUCACGCGGCGUUUCAGUCCCCAAAACCGAAACGCGUCGCAUGGCUUCAUCUGCAAGUAUGUACAGUAACAAACAACCAGGGAAGGAAACCCUUGUGCAUUUUUCCACUGUCCAUCUUCCAUCUCCAAGCAGGAGCACACAUCAUCAGAGUCAGAGGCCUGCUUGCUCUGUUCACCGUUUUGUAGCUGGAGCAUCA
Molecule: long non-coding RNA, 585 nt
Filed under: Triticum aestivum (bread wheat)
Lineage: Eukaryota; Viridiplantae; Streptophyta; Magnoliopsida; Poales; Poaceae
Description: long non-coding RNA (TAES_LNC012770)
Source: RNAcentral